UACAGAGGUCUCAAGCGUUGUUCGGAUUCAUUGGGCGUAAAAGGUGCGUAGGCGGCGCGGUAAGUCGGGUGUGAAAUCUCGGAGCUUAACUCCGAAACUGCAUUCGAUACUGCCGUGCUUGAGGACUGGAGAGGAGACUGGAAUUUACGGUGUAGCGGUGAAAUGCGUAGAUAUCGUAAGGAAGACCAGUGGCGAAGGCGGGUCUCUGGACAGUUCCUGACGCUGAGGCACGAAGGUCAGGGGAGCAAACGGG
This 253-nucleotide ribosomal RNA is filed under the name uncultured bacterium. RNAcentral's name for it is "partial 16S ribosomal RNA". It matches the Rfam family "Bacterial small subunit ribosomal RNA", at positions 524 to 776 of the family's 1533-position model. The record is from RNAcentral.